Molecule: long non-coding RNA, 1516 nt
Organism: Diabrotica virgifera virgifera (western corn rootworm)
Lineage: Eukaryota; Metazoa; Arthropoda; Insecta; Coleoptera; Chrysomelidae
Exons: 2
Source: RefSeq, a predicted model, not a curated record
AAACUGUGGUAACGCCCGGUUUCAUAAUCAACUUAAAGUGAACAUUAACUAAAGUUCACUUUAAGGUUGACAUUACGGCCGAUUUCAUAAUGAAGUUAAAGGAGGCUUUAAAUUUAAAGUUGCCUUUAACUUGAGAUUUUCAUUUCAUAAUCAAGUUAAAGGGCCCUUUUUAUCAAAAGCCCUCUUUAACUUUAAAGUGCAGAUUUCGGACCUUUAAGUUGCUAAAGUCUCCUUUAAAGGAUACAUAACCUAUUUUGUUGAGAUGAAAACACAGUUGUUUUUGUAUUUAACUUUUAAGGUUAACAUAACAGUCAAUAAUAAUUAUUAUAUUAUUACUAGGAUUAAUUAAUUGUACUUUAAAAGUACAAUUAUGUAUAAUUUUGAAACGUCUAGUUCAAGAAAUUUAUUGUAUUCAGAAGACCAAAAAUUAACCAGAACAGAUAACAAACUGUUUUGAACAAUAAUAAUAUGAUGAUCUGGAUUUUUAUCAAAGAUUUAGGUUGAAAACACACAGUUUUGUGUGCCUUCUUAAAUAUAAAACCAAAUAACCUUGCCUACUAUUAGUGGUGGAUGCCAUGCAUUACUCCCAUGCAACAAAUUCUGUUGGAUUUUAUGCAUCAGGAAGUAUGCAAUUAAAAGUAGCUGAUUUUACGGCAGUGUCCAGAGGUUCAGCAAGUAGAAUUAUAAAAAUAUUAUCCUUUACAAUUGCAAGAAUCAUCAAGAGAUGGAAAGCUGUUGAAUAUUUUUACAAGAUUGCUUUAUUCCCUAGAAUAAUGAGUGCAAUGGGUUAUACUUUAAUUAAAAUACAUUCUGCAGGUGUCCAGGAUGCAGAAAUUUUCAGGUCCAGAAAAUCAUGGUUUGCAUUGAAUGUUCAGUUAGUGAUGCAAAAUUUAAAAUUAGAGAUAUUGUUGUACUGUGGUCAUCAAAUACGACAUAGGCUGAAGCAUAAUUCAGGGGCUUAGAAUCACACAAAUGUAGCUACAUUUUGUUUUAUUUUCGUCUACAGAAAUAUUAGAGUUACGGUAACUGAACGUUAUAAUAUGUAGGUACCUAGCCUAGGUAUGCAUGUCCAAAUCAGAACUAAAGCAGGUGGACAUAUCUUCAUGUGAAUCUUAAAUAAGAAGUUUAAUGUAGUUAUGUUUGUUUGACCCUAACCCCCUGAAUUUUGAAAGUGGUAUCUUUGGCCAUUACAUAUUGGUUGGUGACAGUGAUGAACAAGGAAUAUAGUAGAACAGCAAUAUGGGUUGUGGAAAUGAAGAUUUCCUAUACUCCGCUUAGGAAUGAGACUACAAUUAGAAAACAUGACUGUGCUUGUUGCAACUAGAGUGCUUCAUAAUAUUGCCAUUGAUAUGGAUGACAAUUUUCCUGUGAAUAAAACUAAAGAUGAAGCAAGCAAUGAAUAAUUACAACAGAUAAAAAAUAAUGAAAAUAUUUCAGAAAACAAUAUAACUGUGUUAAUAAAUGAACACUUUGGUAGAUUGUAAAUAUAUUUAUUAAUAAAAACAAAAUGAAUGUA